Molecule: ribosomal RNA, 366 nt
Filed under: uncultured organism
Description: bacterial SSU rRNA
Rfam family: Bacterial small subunit ribosomal RNA
Source: RNAcentral
CGGAGGAUCCAAGCGUUAUCCGGAAUCAUUGGGUUUGAAGGGUCCGUAGGCGGGUUUAUAAGUCAGUGGUGAAAGCCCAUCGCUCAACGAUGGAACGGCCAUUGAUACUGUAGAUCUUGAAUUAUUAGGAAGUAACUAGAAUAUGUAGUGUAGCGGUGAAAUGCUUAGAGAUUACAUGGAAUACCAAUUGCGAAGGCAGGUUACUACUAAUGGAUUGACGCUGAUGGACGAAAGCGUGGGUAGCGAACAGGAUUAGAUACCCUGGUAGUCCACGCCGUAAACGAUGGAUACUAGCUGUUCGGAGCAAUCUGAGUGGCUAAGCGAAAGUGAUAAGUAUCCCACCUGGGGAGUACGUUCGCAAGAAUG